This 99-nucleotide microRNA precursor is filed under the name Equus asinus (donkey). Its description in RNAcentral is "mir-544 microRNA precursor family". The record is from Rfam by way of RNAcentral. Lineage: Eukaryota; Metazoa; Chordata; Mammalia; Perissodactyla; Equidae. RNAcentral also lists the same sequence under 1 other name.
AUCAUCUGGAGACCUUGUUAAAAUGCAGAUUCUGAUUCUGUAGGUUUGGGCAAGGGAGGGGAGAUUCUGCAUUUCUAAUGAGCUCCCAGGCGAUGCUUA